UUCUUCAACUAAUGGCGCCAUGGCAACUCCACGAUUUUGCCUUUCCACGUUUCCAUGCCAUCCUAUAAAACAACAAAUAACUUUUAUUUAGCUUAUCAUUUUU
Long non-coding RNA from Ipomoea nil (Japanese morning glory), 103 nucleotides. RefSeq lists it as uncharacterized. The record is from RefSeq and is a predicted model, not a curated record. The transcript has 3 exons. Lineage: Eukaryota; Viridiplantae; Streptophyta; Magnoliopsida; Solanales; Convolvulaceae.